CCUACGGGUUGCACCAGUGGGGAAUAUUGCACAAUGGGCGCAAGCCUGAUGCAGCCAUGCCGCGUGUAUGAAGAAGGCCUUAGGGUUGUAAAGUACUUUCAGCGAGGAGGAAGGCGAUAAGGUUAAUAACCUUGUCGAUUGACGUUACUCGCAGAAGAAGCACCGGCUAACUCCGUGCCGGCAGCCGCGGUAAUACGGAGGGUGCAAGCGUUAAUCGGAAUUACUGGGCGUAAAGCGCACGCAGGCGGUCUGUCAAGUCGGAUGUGAAAUCCCCGGGCUCAACCUGGGAACUGCAUUCGAAACUGGCAGGCUAGAGUCUCGUAGAGGGGGGUAGAAUUCCAGGUGUAGCGGUGAAAUGCGUAGAGAUCUGGAGGAAUACCGGUGGCGAAGGCGGCCCCCUGGACGAAGACUGACGCUCAGGUGCGAAAGCGUGGGGAGCAAACAGGAUUAGAUACCCGUGUAGUC
This 465-nucleotide ribosomal RNA is filed under the name uncultured bacterium. Its description in RNAcentral is "bacterial SSU rRNA". It matches the Rfam family "Bacterial small subunit ribosomal RNA", at positions 338 to 795 of the family's 1533-position model. The record is from RNAcentral.